UGCCUGAAGGUUUCUUCAAGUCACGCUGAGAAGGCAAGGGAAAGUCCAGUUGGAAUUUCUCUCUUGCAGAACUUGGAAUCAAAUGAGCUUAUCAUUUGAGAGCAGAGGAGAUCCUCAGCACUGUAUUACAGCUCCAGUUCUCGAGCCAGAUUGCCAGGUUUAUGCAGGAUCAUAAUAUACAAAACAGAAGAAAGGAAAUGGUUUGCUCCGCAUCAUGUGACAAGUCAUCUCACAGCAUCAGGUGCAGCCCUUAGCCUGGGGCAGGUACUGGAACAGACUGUAUAUCCGUCCAUCCUCACUAGACAGCGCUCCACCCUUCUCCAUCUUCAUCACCCUUGA
RNAcentral lists this long non-coding RNA (339 nucleotides) under Camelus dromedarius (Arabian camel). RNAcentral describes it as "lncRNA (ENSCDRG00005003189.1)". The record is from RNAcentral. Lineage: Eukaryota; Metazoa; Chordata; Mammalia; Artiodactyla; Camelidae.